GUGCUCGCUUCGGCAGCACAUAUACUAAAAUUGGAA
This 36-nucleotide small nuclear RNA is filed under the name Cervus elaphus hippelaphus. Lineage: Eukaryota; Metazoa; Chordata; Mammalia; Artiodactyla; Cervidae. The record is from RNAcentral.